Molecule: long non-coding RNA, 221 nt
Organism: Xenia sp. Carnegie-2017
Lineage: Eukaryota; Metazoa; Cnidaria; Anthozoa; Malacalcyonacea; Xeniidae
Exons: 2
Source: RefSeq, a predicted model, not a curated record
GAAAAUUACACUCUGUUUUAUCAAUUAGGAUAACGCGAAAAAUAAUGCCAACAUGCACUGUCUUUUGAUGUCGUAUAGUGGUUCAUUUUUUAAAGCAAUUGAAGCACUACAAAGAUUGCCUGUGGCAGCGACACAAAUGAUUUUUCAGACCAUCAAAAAUUGUCUUGUGAUUGCUAUAUAGAAUAAAGGGGAGAGAGGAGAAUUUUUCCUUUCGAUAGUAA